CAGCAGUUUUUAGCAUAGCAAACACAAGAAAUUAUUCAAUCGGCAGAUUCUACAACAUCUUAACAUCCCAGCUCCACGUUAUGGAGGAGGACUCGAGGAGACGAACAUCCACGAUUGCAGGAGGGCCAGCAGGCGGCGGAUGGGUGAAGCAGGGGCGCGCGGGGCGACGGGCUGGUGGGGGCCGCGGCGCGGGGCGGCGGCGUGCGGAGGCGGCGGCACGAGGGGAGGCGGGCGGGCGGAGACGGCGGCGCGAGGGGACUGGAGGCGAGCGGGCGGGGAGGCGGCGGCGCACCGGGAAGCGGGCUGGUGGAGCCGUGGAGGAUGCCGGAGGCGGCGCGCAGGCAGGGGUAGGGGCGGGAGGAGUGAAAUUAGGGUCAGGUAUUGGGAUCCGACGUAUAUAUACCAUGAGCGGAAUUAGACGUUGGCUGGGCCUUGGACAAGAUAUAAUGGGCCUGUUGUACUGAGCUAGGUGCGGAUACAUGGUACACGGGUUCGGGUAUGUCAAUACCAUACCCGUACCCGUCAUACCCGUCGGCACAAGAUUUUAUCAUUUACAUAUCUGCGG
RNAcentral lists this long non-coding RNA (565 nucleotides) under Brachypodium distachyon (stiff brome). Its description in RNAcentral is "long non-coding RNA (BDIS_LNC002944)". Lineage: Eukaryota; Viridiplantae; Streptophyta; Magnoliopsida; Poales; Poaceae. The record is from RNAcentral.